CUCUCUCUCGUUUUUUAUAUCUUUCAGAGAACGGGAACCCUCACCAAAACCCUCGAGACGAAAAUCUCGUUUUCUCUCAGAUUCACAAUCAAAUCCAAAAUCUCUUGAGCUUUACUAACAAAUCAAAACCUGCGUUUACAUAAUCAAAAUCUGGAAUCGAUAUAUUCUCUAGAACCCUAAAAAAUUCCUAAACCUAGAAUCGUUCAUGAAAUCCGAAAUCAAUUCAUCUGAUAGUGGAUUAUCAUCGGGUGAAUCUACUACAGUUGAGAAUGGAACAGAGGAAAGCGAGUAUUACGUCUGGCACGAGUGAGUAAUUUCAAGUUGGUUCCUUUGAGUAUCUUAGAAGUGGUCUUAAACAUGUUUUGUGUGUACAUUUUUUUCCUUAAAAUGUGAUAUCUAAUUUUCCAUUUUAUUAAUGGAGUUUAUAUAUAUUUUGUUUCUUGUUCA
Molecule: long non-coding RNA, 447 nt
Organism: Papaver somniferum (opium poppy)
Lineage: Eukaryota; Viridiplantae; Streptophyta; Magnoliopsida; Ranunculales; Papaveraceae
Exons: 2
Source: RefSeq, a predicted model, not a curated record